AGUGAACGCUGGCGGUAGGCCUAACACAUGCAAGUCGAACGGCAGCACAGUAAGAGCUUGCUCUUACGGGUGGCGAGUGGCGGACGGGUGAGGAAUACAUCGGAAUCUACUUUUUCGUGGGGGAUAACGUAGGGAAACUUACGCUAAUACCGCAUACGACCUACGGGUGAAAGCAGGGGAUCUUCGGACCUUGCGCGAUUGAAUGAGCCGAUGUCGGAUUAGCUAGUUGGCGGGGUAAAGGCCCACCAAGGCGACGAUCCGUAGCUGGUCUGAGAGGAUGAUCAGCCACACUUGAACUGAGACACGGGCCAGACUCCUACGGGAGGCAGCAGUGGGGAAUAUUGGACAAUGGGCGCAAGCCUGAUCCAGCCAUACCGCGUGGGUGAAGAAGGCCUUCGGGUUGUAAAGCCCUUUUGUUGGGAAAGAAAAGCAGCAGGUUAAUACCCCGCUGUUCUGACGGUACCCAAAGAAUAAGCACCGGCUAACUUCGUG
This 492-nucleotide ribosomal RNA is filed under the name uncultured bacterium. Its description in RNAcentral is "partial 16S ribosomal RNA". It matches the Rfam family "Bacterial small subunit ribosomal RNA", at positions 29 to 507 of the family's 1533-position model. The record is from RNAcentral.